UACGUAGGAUGCAAGCGUUGUCCGGAAUUAUUGGGCGUAAAGAGCGCGCAGGCGGUUUGAGAAGUCAGAUGUGAAAGAGGCCGGCUUAACCGGCAAGGGUCAUUUGAAACUGACAGACUAGAGUACAGCAGAGGAUAGCGGAAUUCCCGGUGUAGUGGUGAAAUGCGUAGAUAUCGGGAGGAACACCAGUGGCGAAGGCGGCUAUCUGGGCUGAAACUGACGCUGAGGCGCGAAGGCUAGGGUAGCAAACAGG
Molecule: ribosomal RNA, 253 nt
Filed under: uncultured bacterium
Lineage: Bacteria
Description: partial 16S ribosomal RNA
Rfam family: Bacterial small subunit ribosomal RNA
Source: RNAcentral